This 1432-nucleotide ribosomal RNA is filed under the name uncultured organism. RNAcentral's name for it is "16S ribosomal RNA". It matches the Rfam family "Bacterial small subunit ribosomal RNA". The record is from RNAcentral.
AUGAACGCUAGCUACAGGCUUAACACAUGCAAGUCGAGGGGCAUCAGGAAGAAAGCUUGCUUUCUUUGCUGGCGACCGGCGCACGGGUGAGUAACACGUAUCCAACCUGCCCUUUACUCGGGGAUAGCCUUUCGAAAGAAAGAUUAAUACCCGAUGGCAUAAUGAUUCCGCAUGGUUUCAUUAUUAAAGGAUUCCGGUAAAGGAUGGGGAUGCGUUCCAUUAGGUUGUUGGUGAGGUAACGGCUCACCAAGCCUUCGAUGGAUAGGGGUUCUGAGAGGAAGGUCCCCCACAUUGGAACUGAGACACGGUCCAAACUCCUACGGGAGGCAGCAGUGAGGAAUAUUGGUCAAUGGGCGCUAGCCUGAACCAGCCAAGUAGCGUGAAGGAUGAAGGCUCUAUGGGUCGUAAACUUCUUUUAUAUAAGAAUAAAGUGCAGUAUGUAUACUGUUUUGUAUGUAUUAUAUGAAUAAGGAUCGGCUAACUCCGUGCCAGCAGCCGCGGUAAUACGGAGGAUCCGAGCGUUAUCCGGAUUUAUUGGGUUUAAAGGGAGCGUAGGUGGACUGGUAAGUCAGUUGUGAAAGUUUGCGGCUCAACCGUAAAAUUGCAGUUGAUACUGUCAGUCUUGAGUACAGUAGAGGUGGGCGGAAUUCGUGGUGUAGCGGUGAAAUGCUUAGAUAUCACGAAGAACUCCGAUUGCGAAGGCAGCUCACUGGACUGCAACUGACACUGAUGCUCGAAAGUGUGGGUAUCAAACAGGAUUAGAUACCCUGGUAGUCCACACAGUAAACGAUGAAUACUCGCUGUUUGCGAUAUACAGUAAGCGGCCAAGCGAAAGCAUUAAGUAUUCCACCUGGGGAGUACGCCGGCAACGGUGAAACUCAAAGGAAUUGACGGGGGCCCGCACAAGCGGAGGAACAUGUGGUUUAAUUCGAUGAUACGCGAGGAACCUUACCCGGGCUUAAAUUGCAGUGGAAUGAUGUGGAAACAUGUCAGUGAGCAAUCACCGCUGUGAAGGUGCUGCAUGGUUGUCGUCAGCUCGUGCCGUGAGGUGUCGGCUUAAGUGCCAUAACGAGCGCAACCCUUAUCUUUAGUUACUAACAGGUUAUGCUGAGGACUCUAGAGAGACUGCCGUCGUAAGAUGUGAGGAAGGUGGGGAUGACGUCAAAUCAGCACGGCCCUUACGUCCGGGGCUACACACGUGUUACAAUGGGGGGUACAGAAGGCAGCUAGCGGGUGACCGUAUGCUAAUCCCAAAAGCCUCUCUCAGUUCGGAUCGAAGUCUGCAACCCGACUUCGUGAAGCUGGAUUCGCUAGUAAUCGCGCAUCAGCCACGGCGCGGUGAAUACGUUCCCGGGCCUUGUACACACCGCCCGUCAAGCCAUGGGAGCCGGGGGUACCUGAAGUACGUAACCGCAAGGAUCGUCCUAGGGUA